Molecule: ribosomal RNA, 264 nt
Filed under: uncultured bacterium
Lineage: Bacteria
Description: partial 16S ribosomal RNA
Rfam family: Bacterial small subunit ribosomal RNA
Source: RNAcentral
CCUAACCCAUGCAAGUCGAACGAAGGCUUCGGCCUUAGUGGCGCACGGGUGCGUAACGCGUGGGAAUCUGCCCUUGGGUUCGGAAUAACAGCGAGAAAUUGCUGCUAAUACCGGAUGAUGUCGCGAGACCAAAGAUUUAUCGCCUGAGGAUGAGCCCGCGUUGGAUUAGGUAGUUGGUGGGGUAAAGGCCUACCAAGCCGACGAUCCAUAGCUGGUCUGAGAGGAUGAUCAGCCACACUGGGACUGAGACACGGCCCAGACUCC